This 1262-nucleotide long non-coding RNA is filed under the name Ananas comosus (pineapple). Its description in RNAcentral is "long non-coding RNA (ACOM_LNC043563)". The record is from RNAcentral. Lineage: Eukaryota; Viridiplantae; Streptophyta; Magnoliopsida; Poales; Bromeliaceae.
CGAACGGACAAGAUUUUCUCCUAUACCGCGGACAGAGUCUCCCCUGUACGUCCAAGGCAUCACAAUCCAUACAAUACGCGAGGUUCCAACCAGGAACAACAUACAAGCAUAGAUUGCAUAAGGAGAGUAUCGAAAACAUAAACAUCUAAGAUAUUACAUGCAUUCAACUCACAUAUUACAUUUUACAUCACAUAUUACACUUUUCAUACUCUUUUAACUCUUUUAAACUUCCAAAUACAAUCCAACUUUAACAUAAUUAUUACAACUUGGUUCUUUUCUUUCUUGCAAUCCCUAAGUAGCCGACUCAGGGUACCGCUAUCUCUGGUCUCGGUGGUAGGGCGCUAACUAUGGAGCUACGCCAUUUCCUCGCGCCGCCGCGCCGCUCACGUGUGAACCUGUACCCCCAAAAACAACACGGGGGUGAGAAUUAUUGUCCAUAGUUUUCAGUGGGUACGGCCACCCAAGGAAAAAGCUCGACCCACCAGGUCCAAAGGAGGCACUGCAAACAUGCUAAUCCAACAGAUAUAUAUAUAUAUAUAUAUAUAUAUACUAUAUAUAUAUAUAUAUAUAUAUAUAUAUAUGACAUCAUAUAAUUUAUGUUCAUGCCUCGCAAAUGCAACUAUGCAAAUUCAUGCAACUUAUGCAAGUAGAUUAACUAAUUCUACUUUCACUCACUUGCCUUUCUUUAAUUCUUAGCCGUUCUUUAUUAUUUGCUAUUCCUUAGCAUUAACCGUUCUUUAUUCGUUGUCAUUCUUUACUAUUUGCUAUUCUUUAGCACUAACCAAUCUUUCCUAAGGUUACUUUACCUUAGCCAACUAUGCUACUCGACUCGGUCUUGAGUCAAUCAAUCGCGAAUAUGCCGCGCUCUGUCAGGCUCAAGGUGAAGGACGUCUCACAUGCACCUCAACCUUAAAUCCUCAAACCACAUCGCCCAACGGGCGAGGAGAACCAACAUAUAUACUGCUGAUGGUGCAUGGCAUUUGCCACAAUCAAUACCCAAUCCUCUCGGCUAACCCGUAGGUUUCGCCUUUAAACUCACCAACUCAAAUCCCUACUAUCGGGGAGAAACUCCUACGACCCGACGGGACCGUCCUCUGGGGAGAAACUACUACGACCCAGUGAUGACCCGACAGGCUCAACCUCUGGGGAAACUCCAACCCAGUGAUGAUCACUGCGGAGCUCAUCGCUCGAGGGGGAGCGACCGCCCUCAAGUAUCGGAUGUAUAGGUGAGUAUGAUCCAAUCCACAACCAUGAGCAUACCA